AGCGAACGCUGGCGGCAGGCCUAACACAUGCAAGUCGAACGAACCUUUCGGGGUUAGUGGCGGACGGGUGAGUAACACGUGGGAACGUGCCUUUAGGUUCGGAAUAACUCAGGGAAACUUGUGCUAAUACCGAAUGUGCCCUUCGGGGGAAAGAUUUAUCGCCUUUAGAGCGGCCCGCGUCUGAUUAGCUAGUUGGUUGAGGUAAUGGCACACCAAGGCGACGAUCAGUAGCUGGUCUGAGAGGAUGAUCAGCCACAUUGGGACUGAGACACGGCCCAAACUCCUACGGGAGGCAGCAGUGGGGAAUCUUGCGCAAUGGGCGAAAGCCUGACGCAGCCAUGCCGCGUGAAUGAUGAAGGUCUUAGGAUUGUAAAAUUCUUUCACCGGGGACGAUAAUGACGGUACCCGGAGAAGAAGCCCCGGCUAACUUCGUG
RNAcentral lists this ribosomal RNA (434 nucleotides) under uncultured bacterium. Its description in RNAcentral is "partial 16S ribosomal RNA". It matches the Rfam family "Bacterial small subunit ribosomal RNA", at positions 29 to 507 of the family's 1533-position model. The record is from RNAcentral.